Molecule: ribosomal RNA, 465 nt
Filed under: uncultured bacterium
Lineage: Bacteria
Description: partial 16S ribosomal RNA
Rfam family: Bacterial small subunit ribosomal RNA
Source: RNAcentral
GACGAACGCUGGCGGCGUGCUUAACACAUGCAAGUCGAACGGUAAGGCUCCAGCUUGCUGGGGUACACGAGUGGCGAACGGGUGAGUAACACGUGGGUGACCUGCCCUGCACUUCGGGAUAAGCCUGGGAAACUGGGUCUAAUACCGGAUAGGACCGCACCGUGAGGGUGUGGUGGAAAGUUUUUUCGGUUUGGGAUGGGCCCGCGGCCUAUCGGCUUGUUGGUGGGGUAAUGGCCUACCAAGGCGGCGACGGGUAGCCGGCCGGAGAGGGGGGACGGCCACAAUGGGACUGCGGGACGGCGCAGUCGGCUACGGGAGGCAGCAGGCGGGAGUCUUACACAAUGGGGGGACGCCUGAUGCAGCGGCGCCGCGUGGGGGAAGACGGCCUACGGGUGGGAAACUGCUUUCACCAUAGACGAAGGUUUUCUGACGGUAGAUGGAGAAGAAGCACCGGCUAACUACGUG